GUCUUAGUUUGGCGGCUGUAAUGGAAUUACUGUAACUGCGUGUCUUAAACAGCAAGCAUCUGUUUUUCCUAGAUUUGGAGGCUAGAAGUCCAAUGUCAAAGCCCAGGUGAAAGCGGUGUCUGGUGAGAGCCUGCUUCCUGAUCCGGAGACGGCCAUCUUGUCACUGCAUCCGCACGUGGACGAAGGGGAGAAAGUUCCACUUGAACCCACACGGCUCUGCUCUGUCUGUCUUUCGAGAACGUUCAGGCUUUGA
RNAcentral lists this long non-coding RNA (253 nucleotides) under Mustela putorius furo (domestic ferret). RNAcentral describes it as "lncRNA (ENSMPUG00000028640.1)". Lineage: Eukaryota; Metazoa; Chordata; Mammalia; Carnivora; Mustelidae. The record is from RNAcentral.